GAGAAGUAGUCAGCGGCCGAUCUGAUCUCAUCAUCCUUGUAUUCACAUGGGAAUAAUUUAUCAAUAUUAACCAAUUUGGAUUCACUGCGCGUCUUUCCGGGAAACUUUGCGGACACUUUGCUGCGUUUCCUUUCCUUUCCUCUCAUCCGUUUCUUUUUUUUUUUUUUCUUCGUACGAGUUUGCAGCGCGCUUGUUUCUAAGAAUAAAACGGUAAUGCCAUCAAUUACAGCGGGCGCAUUCAUUCAUAAGGAGAGAUAAAGUCCUCCACCUCGGACGCACGACAAGAAAAGGGGAGUCCAGGCACACGGCGUCCUCUGAGGAAAACACGGAGCAGGGCGAGCUGUGGGGAGAAUACAAAUUAUACUUGAGAGAGAGAGAGAGAGAAACGUCCGGGAACAGCCAUGUACUUCGCUCUGUCUGUGUCCGGAGAGAGCUAGAACCAAGACGCUGCAUUUUUUUUUUGGAAACAACUCUAGUAAUUAUCAGAAGUGUUUGAGCUAUUUGUGUGAUCGGCGGCCAAAGUGAGAGGAUGACAGUCAAGCUGGACUUUGAGGAGUGUCUCAAAGACUCCCCCCGCUUCAGAGCAGACAUUGAAGAGGUCCAGAGCGAUGUGAGUGAAUUGGAGACACGACUAGAUAAGCUGGUGAAACAAUGCCACGCCAUGCUGGAGGCGGGCAAGGCCUACUGCCAGACCAGCAAGAGCUUCAUCAACGGCCUCAGGGAGCUGGGACACUACUGCUCCGGGGUCAGCCUGAUGGGGGAGUGCUUAGAGAAAUUUUCUGGAAGGCUGUCUACCAUCAUCGAGGCCCAGGGGGAAGUGAUUGAGACCACACAGAAGUCAGUCAAGUUGAAGCUGCAGACGUUUGUGAAAGAGGACGUUCGUCGCUUCAAGGAUGUGCGCAAGGAGUUUGAACGCAGCAGCGAGAGCCUGGAGGGGGCGCUGAUGAGGAACGCUCAGGUCCCGCGGGGGAAAGCGCACGAGGUGGAAGAGGCCAGCAACGCUCUGCUCAACGCCCGCAAGAGCUUCCGAUCUGAAGCCCUGGACUACGUGCUGGAGAUUAAUGUCAUCGAGGCCAAGAAGAAGACAGACAUCAUCAUGGCAAUGCUGUCGCUGAUGGACGCCCAGGCCCAGUUCUUCCAACAUGGCCACCAGUCUAUAUCACAGCUGGACGAGUAUCGACACAGACUUAGUGAACAGCACACUCAGCUCGUCCUGAACUCUGCCAGGGAGAAGAGGGAUAUGGAGCAAAGACACGCUGCCAUCAAGAAAAAGGACAUGUCCUACGACGACUCCAUCAUGGAUUUCAGUGCGGAUGCAGCUAACGGGAUAGCCAUGGAGGGCUACCUCUACAAGAGAGCCAGCAACGCCUUCAAAACCUGGAGCAGGCGCUGGUUUUCAAUCCAGAAAAAUCAGCUGGUCUAUCAGAAGAAAUACAAGGACCAGCCUACAGUUGUGGUGGAGGACUUGCGUCUUUGCACAGUCAAGCCCAGCACUGAAAAUGAGAGGCGGUUCUGCUUUGAAGUGGUCUCUCCUUCCAAGAGCUGUCUGUUGCAGGCGGACUCGGAGAGGCAGCAGCAGGCGUGGAUCAGCGCCGUCCAAAACAGCAUCGCCUCCGCCUUCCAGGAGCGCAGAGAGGACCCACACAGCCCGAGGCAGCGCUGCAGCUCGGUGUCGGUGAGCAGUGUGGGAGGAGGAGGAGGAGGUGGCGGCGAGCAGGAGACCCAGGACCGCGGGGCGCUGGAGGAGGUGCAGGCCAUCCCGGGGAACAGGCAGUGCUGCGACUGCGGAGAGCCCGGUCCCGACUGGGCCUCCAUCAAUCUGGGCAUCACACUGUGUAUUGUCUGCUCCGGCAUACACAGGAGCCUGGGAGUCCAUUUCUCCAAAGUGCGCUCCCUCACCCUCGACACCUGGGAGCCCGAGCUCAUCAAGCUGAUGUGUGAGCUAGGAAACACCGCCAUCAACAGGAUCUACGAGGCUCGCAUCGACGAGAUCACCAUCAAGAAGCCCCACCCAUCCAGUCCCAGAGGAGACAAGGAGUCGUGGAUCCGGUCGAAGUACGUGGAGAAGAAGUUCAUCCAAAAGCUUCCAGAGACGGGCCACAACCCCCUGCUGAGGCGAUCCAGCGCCAGGAGGAACCGGGCGACCACCCAGGACCGCACCGCACCCCGACCGGCGAUCAAACCCAAACCCAACCGGGCCACCCUGCCCCGGGUCACAGGGCUGAGUCCCAGUGACCUCCAAAAGAACAAUACAAGCAUUCAUAAAGACGAGGAGGAGGAGGAUCUCAGCGGCCUGCACCCCGGGGCGCUGCUGUACCGCUCGGCCGCCCUGCAGAACUUCCCCGUCAUGGCCGACGCCUUGGCCCACGGAGCCGACGUCAACUGGGUCAACGUGGCCGAGGAGUCCAGCACCCCGCUAAUACAGGCCGUGUCAGCGAACGCCCUGGCGGCGUGCGAGUUCCUGCUGCAGAACGGCGCCAACGUCAACCAGGCAGACAGCAACGGGAGAGGACCUCUGCACCACGCCACCAUCCUGGGACACACAGGGUUAGCAUGUCUCUUCUUGAAACGAGGGGCCGACUUCAACGCCAGAGACAAGAACCAGAAAGACCCCAUCUCCAUCGCUGUGGAUAACGCCAACGCUGACAUUGUCACUUUGCUGCGGAUCGCCAAGAUGAACAAGGAGAUGCGGGAGAUGGACGGAGCGUUUGGCCAAUCAGGUCACUCAGGGGGGCAGGGAUCUGGGGGUGGGACAGGAAGUGGGAUGGGCCACACCAGGAAGAGCCUGCAGGCGCUCAAGAACCACAUCAGCGGGUGGGCCUUAGGGGGUCAAACUGAGCAGAGGUGAUGAAGGGCAAGGCAUCGUCAACAAUAUGUGAUGCUAUGUUCAACGUGCGUGUUUACAGUUUGGUUUUGAGCGAAGGGGAAAGAAAGACUGCGAUUUAGACAUGACGCCAGUGUUGAGUUGUGGGGUUCGACCUCUGCUUGGACAUCAGAAAUAAUCUGGAUUGCCAAUUUCAUCUGGCGUUCCAGGGGCUCGAGUCACCUCAUCCAGGGACAUAUCCUCCCUCUGAACACUUAGUAGAAAAAACCAUGCAAAAUGUUUGCACUUCCGUUGCAAAGGAGAAUUGCAUUUUUUGAAAAAGCGUGAAAACACUUGAGGGCGAGCUGAAGGAGACGAGUGCUGUAACUAGAACACAGGGUACGACAGUAGAAAAGGCACAGUGUUGCUCUGUAAAAUGUAUGGAGGGGGGGAAUAAUUACACACACGGGGGUUUAUUAAUCAUCACGGACAGGGAAAUGUCUGUGUGAGAAAACAGGGGCGAAAUGCUCCAAGGGGUCCAUGUUGCACUUUGAAAAACCAACGCACAUCAUCCUGCACUUUCAAACCCACAAAAAUCGCAGAAAACCACACCGAUGCAGAAUGUUAAAAGUGGGUUUUUCCUAUCAUGUUGUACAGCUGAGGUUUAACAUUUUUCAUACAUGCCUGUAUAAAAUGUGUAUAUACAACGUACUGUACAGUAGGUUUACUUGGUGCUGAUACAUUAUGUAGUGGCUUUGUAUGUAUGCGCAGUGUGCUGGCUGCCUUUAGAAAUCAGCUUGUACUGUCUUUUUACUGCUCAUGUCUGUAUGUAUCUCAGUGUUUACUGGAUUGUCCCCCGUAGUUGUUGACUUGAGAUAAAUUCAGUACAGAGUUUGGUUCUCUUGGACUUUGCUUCCCCACUAUUCUGUGAAUAGCCAUCGAUCAUGCUCAGUGUGACGUGUUAUGCUGACACAUAUUGUGCUGCAAGAAAUCUCCAUCUUAACAAGCCAUUUGGUCUCAUAUUCAGUCUUUUUUUUCCCUUCAAACAAGUGGGGGAAAAAAUCAGACCGCAGGAUGAGAUGAUCCCACUCGUUUCAAGUGCAUUCACUUGUUUCUGGAUGUUCGUCUGGCAACAAGUCUAAAUCUGAUGAAACAAGGUUGAAUAAGGCGGAUCAGCCCACUAGCAUCAAGAAAAUGACAUGUGAUUUAAGAAAAUUCAAGUAGAUUAGCAAUGGGAACAAGUGGGAUUGCCUCAUCCCGCUGGCAGAUUUUUUCGUUUGAAGAAAAACAAGAUUUGAACAAAUGAUUUGUUAAGAUGCAGUUUUUUUUGCACUGUACCUUUAUUUAUUUCACACUGAGUCCAGGUCCUUGCUGUGGCCCUUGAGCUUCAGGUUUACAGUGGGCUUUGGUUGCAUAUUGUUGUUGAACUACUAUGCAAGCUGCAAUCCCUCCAUUCCUUCAUGAUCUUCAGGAUUUUGAGUUGCUGGUCUAAACUACUAAAGCAUAUUAGUUUUGCUCAUGAAUGAAUGGAAACGUGGUGCUUUUGUCUGCUUGGAACAAAUCUACACUGCUGGUCAGUAUUUGAUGUUGCUGUGCUUUUUCAUUGUGUGUGUGUGUGUGUGUGUUGUCUAUAUGUGUGUUUGUGCGCGCGCGUGCCUGCACAUCAUGCACUCGUGUGCCUAUGCCCUCUGCCCGCUGAGAUGUCCGACUGGUGUCAGCCGCUUGCGCAGUGUGCCACCUGCUGCACCCUGAGAGGUGAUGAAACCUACCAGGACAUCUUCAGAGACUUUUCACACAUGGCCUCAAACAACCCUGAGAAGCUCAAACGCCGCAGCGCCGACCCCAAGAUGUAACCAGCUGCUUGUGCCUUUUUUACACCGGUGUCCGACACCCUUGUUUCACAUAUUAGUCCUACACACCCACUUUGAGACAUGCAUGCACAAACAGACACACACACACACACGCACAAACCAUGCUGGGUUGUCUUCACAGGCACACACACACACACACACACAUACACACACACAGUCUGUCUCUCCUUGGCCGCCUGCCACAUGUUUAGUCAGAGCUCAGCUGGUGUUGACUUCAGAGGAGCGGAGCGGUCCAACAGUGAAUUCUUUGUGUUGACCCGUCAGACGAGAACAAUUGUGUCCGAGUGGAAACAGAUUGUAGCUGCUCUAGCAGACCAGCGUGAGGCGUCUCGGUGUCUGGCAGAGGGUAACACACCGCUAUUUCAUUUUAAGUCUUUUUUUUUUUUUUUUAAAUUAGCGAGGCUGUUCCUAUUUGUGAAGAUGAAGUAAAAAAUGGUGGAAAUGAAAAUGUUUGUUGUAAAGGGUCAACUGUUUUCCAUCAAACUGCAGUAUAUGUUCCUUUUUUUUUUUUUUUUUAAAUAAAUUGGGAUGUCUUUCCAUGUUCAUUUUGUCUCAGUGAUAAGAGGUAUUUCAGACUUGUAUCUCAUGAUCAAAUAAAAUGCAACAGAAAACUU
Myripristis murdjan (pinecone soldierfish) is the source of this 5288-nucleotide RNA transcript. It is a transcript of the gene named ArfGAP with coiled-coil, ankyrin repeat and PH domains 1, with no coding region annotated. The record is from RefSeq and is a predicted model, not a curated record. The transcript has 23 exons. NCBI's taxonomy places the organism in Eukaryota, Metazoa, Chordata, Actinopteri, Holocentriformes, Holocentridae.